Molecule: long non-coding RNA, 327 nt
Organism: Lontra canadensis (Northern American river otter)
Lineage: Eukaryota; Metazoa; Chordata; Mammalia; Carnivora; Mustelidae
Exons: 3
Source: RefSeq, a predicted model, not a curated record
UAGUAGGACCUGAGGAAGACGCCCCCAAGGAUCCACAGGGACUGGCCACUGCUGGAGGGCAGGUUCUCGGGCUAAACUCCCAUCAGACUCAGGUCUGAGAACUUCCAGGCCAAGUCAGAGCCCCGGGGAAAACUCCCACAUCCUGGGGCACAGAGUGGCCUGCAGCCCGGCUCACCCUCAGAGUGUCAUAGCCGUAGACGCCACGGAGGCUGCCGCUGCCAUACUGCACGGAGAAGGUCUGCCCAUGGCUGGAGAGACACGCGCUGAGAACUUAGUAAGCAGCGGAGUGGAGUGACAUGGAAAGACUAUUGUCGACUUUGGUGAGAC